AGCGAAAGCGUGGGGAGCGAGCAGGAUUAGAUACCCUGGUAGUCCACGCCGUAAACGGUGGGCACUAGGUGUGGGGACUUUUCAACGGUUUCCGCGCCGCAGCUAACGCAUUAAGUGCCCCGCCUGGGGAGUACGGUCGCAAGACUAAAACUCAAAGAAAUUGACGGGGGCCCGCACAAGCAGCGGAGCAUGUGGCUUAAUUCGAUGCAACGCGAAAAACCUUACCUAGAUUUGACAUGCUGGGAAAAGCCACAGAGAUGUGGUGUCCUUCGGGGCUCAGCACAGGUGGUGCAUGGCUGUCGUCAGCUCGUGUCGUGAGAUGUUGGGUUAAGUCCCGCAACGAGCGCAACCCUUGUUCUAUGUUGCCAGCACGUAAUGGUGGGGACUCGUAGAAGACUGCCGGGGUCAACUCGGAGGAAGGUGGGGACGACGUCAAGUCAUCAUGCCCCUUACGUCUAGGGCUGCACACAUGCUACAAUGGGCGGUACAGAGGGCUGCUAAACCGCGAGGUGGAGCCAAUCCCUAAAACCGCUCUCAGUUCAGAUUGCAGGCUGCAACUCGCCUGCAUGAAGUUGGAGUUGCUAGUAAUCCCGGAUCAGCACUGCCGGGGUGAAUACGUUCCCGGGCCUUGUACACACCGCCCGUCAAACCACGAAAGUUGGCAACACCCGAAGCCGGUGGCCUAACCGCAAGGAAGGAGCCGUCGAAGGUGGGGUCAGUGAUUGGGGUUAAGUCGUAACAAGGUAGCCG
This 750-nucleotide ribosomal RNA is filed under the name uncultured bacterium. RNAcentral describes it as "bacterial SSU rRNA". It matches the Rfam family "Bacterial small subunit ribosomal RNA", at positions 752 to 1502 of the family's 1533-position model. The record is from RNAcentral.